This 305-nucleotide long non-coding RNA is filed under the name Mytilus galloprovincialis (Mediterranean mussel). The record is from RNAcentral. Lineage: Eukaryota; Metazoa; Mollusca; Bivalvia; Mytilida; Mytilidae.
UGGCCCAGUAAUUUCAGAGAUGAAGAUUUGUGUAAAAGAUAACAAACAUUUACGAAAAAUUGUUAAAAAUUGACUAUAAAGGUCAAUUACUCCUUAAGGGGUCAGCUGACAAUUUUGGUCUUGUUGACUUAUUUGUAGAUCUAACUUUACUGAACAUUAUUGCUGUCUACAGUUUUUCUCUAUCUAUAAUAAUAUUCAAGAUAAUAACAAAAAGCCGCAAAAUUUCUUUAAAAAUUACAAAUUCAGGGGCAGCAACCCAACAACAGGUUGUCCAAGUCAUCUGAACAUUUCAGAGCAGAUAGAUC